AUUGAGGCAGCCAGCGCAGGGGCUUCUGCUGAGGGGGCAGGCGGAGCUUGAGGAAACCGCAGAUAAGUUUUUUUCUCUUUGAAAGAUAGAGAUUAAUACAACUACUUAAAAAAUAUAGUCAAUAGGUUACUAAGAUAUUGCUUAGCGUUAAGUUUUUAACGUAAUUUUAAUAGCUUAAGAUUUUAAGAGAAAAUAUGAAGACUUAGAAGAGUAGCAUGAGGAAGGAAAAGAUAAAAGGUUUCUAAAACAUGACGGAGGUUGAGAUGAAGCUUCUUCAUGGAGUAAAAAAUGUAUUUAAAAGAAAAUUGAGAGAAAGGACUACAGAGCCCCGAAUUAAUACCAAUAGAAGGGCAAUGCUUUUAGAUUAAAAUGAAGGUGACUUAAACAGCUUAAAGUUUAGUUUAAAAGUUGUAGGUGAUUAAAAUAAUUUGAAGGCGAUCUUUUAAAAAGAGAUUAAACCGAAGGUGAUUAAAAGACCUUGAAAUCCAUGACGCAGGGAGAAUUGCGUCAUUUAAAGCCUAGUUAACGCAUUUACUAAACGCAGACGAAAAUGGAAAGAUUAAUUGGGAGUGGUAGGAUGAAACAAUUUGGAGAAGAUAGAAGUUUGAAGUGGAAAACUGGAAGACAGAAGUACGGGAAGGCGAAGAAAAGAAUAGAGAAGAUAGGGAAAUUAGAAGAUAAAAACAUACUUUUAGAAGAAAAAAGAUAAAUUUAAACCUGAAAAGUAGGAAGCAGAAGAAAAAAGACAAGCUAGGAAACAAAAAGCUAAGGGCAAAAUGUACAAACUUAGAAGAAAAUUGGAAGAUAGAAACAAGAUAGAAAAUGAAAAUAUUGUCAAGAGUUUCAGAUAGAAAAUGAAAAACAAGCUAAGACAAGUAUUGGAGAAGUAUAGAAGAUAGAAAAAUAUAAAGCCAAAAAUUGGAUAAAAUAGCACUGAAAAAAUGAGGAAAUUAUUGGUAACCAAUUUAUUUUAAAAGCCCAUCAAUUUAAUUUCUGGUGGUGCAGAAGUUAGAAGGUAAAGCUUGAGAAGAUGAGGGUGUUUACGUAGACCAGAACCAAUUUAGAAGAAUACUUGAAGCUAGAAGGGGAAGUUGGUUAAAAAUCACAUCAAAAAGCUACUAAAAGGACUGGUGUAAUUUAAAAAAAACUAAGGCAGAAGGCUUUUGGAAGAGUUAGAAGAAUUUGGAAGGCCUUAAAUAUAGUAGCUUAGUUUGAAAAAUGUGAAGGACUUUCGUAACGGAAGUAAUUCAAGAUCAAGAGUAAUUACCAACUUAAUGUUUUUGCAUUGGACUUUGAGUUAAGAUUAUUUUUUAAAUCCUGAGGACUAGCAUUAAUUGACAGCUGACCCAGGUGCUACACAGAAGUGGAUUCAGUGAAUCUAGGAAGACAGCAGCAGACAGGAUUCCAGGAACCAGUGUUUGAUGAAGCUAGGACUGAGGAGCAAGCGAGCAAGCAGCAGUUCGUGGUGAAGAUAGGAAAAGAGUCCAGGAGCCAGUGCGAUUUGGUGAAGGAAGCUAGGAAGAAGGAAGGAGCGCUAACGAUUUGGUGGUGAAGCUAGGAAAAAGGAUUCCAGGAAGGAGCGAGUGCAAUUUGGUGAUGAAGGUAGCAGGCGGCUUGGCUUGGCAACCACACGGAGGAGGCGAGCAGGCGUUGUGCGUAGAGGAUCCUAGACCAGCAUGCCAGUGUGCCAAGGCCACAGGGAAAGCGAGUGGUUGGUAAAAAUCCGUGAGGUCGGCAAUAUGUUGUUUUUCUGGAACUUACUUAUGGUGAUUUAAUAAUAAUUUAAAACUACUAUAGAAACUGCAGAGCAAAGGAAGUGGCUUAAUGAUCCUGAAGGGAUUUCUUCUGAUGGUAGCUUUUGUAUUAUCAAACUUUUUUCAGAUAACAUCUUCUGAGUCAUAACCAGCCUGGCAGUAUGAUGGCCUAGAUGCAGAGAAAACAGCUCCUUGGUGAAUUGAUAAGUAUCUCUUCGUUAUCAGAAGAGUUGCUUCAUUUCAUCUGGGAGCAGAAAACAGCAGGCAGCUGUUAACAGAUAAGUUUAACUUGCAUCUGCAGUAUUGCAUGUUAGGGAUAAGUGCUUAUUUUUAAGAGCUGUGGAGUUCUUAAAUAUCAACCAUGGCACUUUCUCCUGACCCCUUCCCUAGGGGAUUUCAGGAUUGAGAAAUUUUUCCAUCGAGCCUUUUUAAAAUUGUAGGACUUGUUCCUGUGGGCUUCAGUGAUGGGAUAGUACACUUCACUCAGAGGCAUUUGCAUCUUUAAAUAAUUUCUUAAAAGCCUCUAAAGUGAUCAGUGCCUUGAUGCCAACUAAGGAAAUUUGUUUAGCAUUGAAUCUCUGAAGGCUCUAUGAAAGGAAUAGCAUGAUGUGCUGUUAGAAUCAGAUGUUACUGCUAAAAUUUACAUGUUGUGAUGUAAAUUGUGUAGAAAACCAUUAAAUCAUUCAAAAUAAUAAACUAUU
Molecule: long non-coding RNA, 2455 nt
Filed under: Homo sapiens (human)
Lineage: Eukaryota; Metazoa; Chordata; Mammalia; Primates; Hominidae
Description: metastasis associated lung adenocarcinoma transcript 1
Source: RNAcentral